UGGGGGAUAUUGCACAAUGGGCGAAAGCCUGAUGCAGCAACGCCGCGUGAGGGAAGACGGUCUUCGGAUUGUAAACCUUUAGCUUUGGGGAAGAAACAAAUGACGGUACCCAAAGGGGCAGCCACGGCUAACUACGUGCCAGCAGCCGCGGUAAUACGUAGGUGACAAGCGUUGUCCGGAAUUACUGGGUGUAAAGGGAGCGCAGGCGGGGAGACAAGUCAGCUGUGAAAACUAUGGGCUUAACCCAUAGAUUGCAGUUGAAACUGUUUUUCUUGAGUGGAGUAGAGGUAGGCGGAAUUCCGAGUGUAGCGGUGAAAUGCGUAGAUAUCCGGAGGAACACCAGUGGCGAAAGCGGCCUCCUGGACCACUUCUGACACUCAGAUGCGAAAGCUAAGGUAGCAAACG
This 405-nucleotide ribosomal RNA is filed under the name uncultured prokaryote. RNAcentral's name for it is "bacterial SSU rRNA". It matches the Rfam family "Bacterial small subunit ribosomal RNA", at positions 355 to 774 of the family's 1533-position model. The record is from RNAcentral.